AUAUAUAUAUAUAUAUAUAAUAAAUAAAUAAAUAUAUAUAUGUAUAUAUAUACCAUUGCAUAUAUAUACACAAAUGUUGAGUUUAUGCUUAAGCCUGAAUAAUGAAUAAUAUAUAAAUAUAUUUCAAUAUUGUCAAUAAUAUAACAAUGACAAAAACAGCAGGUCCCAGAAUCAGUUUUGGAAGAAAAUCCUUUGUCAUCUUCAGGGCGGUGCCAAAGUGGAGAGGGCUAUAGAAUAGAGGUCUUGUUGAUGCUCUUCAAAAUGGUACUUAGAGAAUGGGAGCGGGACGGAGGAGGCCUAAUGAAAUAUUUAAGAUUAUAAAGGAACUCUGAAAAAGUUUGCAACAAAGGGGUCUGCCGAGAGCCUCCAUUGUCUCGGGGCCUGGCGGAAGCAGGGGCCAAGUUGCUACAGAUAUGAGGAGGGCCCAUAUUGAGCAGUGAUGUGUAGGCUCUGCUCACAGCUGUGUCGCCGCGCUGCCGCCCCAGCCACCAGCCCCCUGCCUUUGUGAGCCUUUGUGUGGACCACAGAGCGGCGAUUUUACACCAAGCUGAUUGCACAGCAACGGCUUUGUGUCGCCAACAAGAAGGCCUCGCCCAUUCUUGACCAUCGGCGCUCACUCCCUCUGCAUCGUGGACACACACACACACACACACACACACACACACACAUCCCAAUCCCAUCAGCCUACACUGACUUUGAGCCUCAUGGGUUUUUAGUACUUGCAAAUGACAUGGUGAUGAAUCUUCUUUCAGUGGGCUGAUAUGAACUGUGGAGGAUGGUGGUUGGUUGUGUGUGGGGGGGGGGGGGUCACUCGUCCUGGGUCCCACAGGAUCUGACUAUUUAGUGCCUAACUGCUUUUGAUUAAUGGAGAGCCCAUUCUUUGUAACAUAUGCCAUUUUCAGGACCCAAAAGAGGGCCGCAUUUGCUGAUGUUUCUGAGUAAUGAUGUCACGAGGUCACAGUGGCACUGAAUGAGUGAAAUGAGGGGAGAAAUGUGGCCUUUUCAUUUGUGAAGGAGCAGUCAAUCCAACGUCUGGUGGGAAGUAAAUGUGUUUAAGUCCCUGGUUAUGUGUUUUUGGUGAGGAGAAUGAGCUUAAAUUGACCAAUUUAAUGAGCAAACAAGCUAAAUCUUGUUACGGCCAGUUUCAUCUUACACACACAUAAAAAAAAGACAAAAAUAAAGUUGAGCUUCUCAGCUUGUCAAAAGUUUUAGUCGUGGAUCUGAGUUUUAUGCAUCUGCUCUUUUAUUGUACUCAUCUUAUGCUUGACCUCAGACAUGACUUGACCCUGCAAAUAAGAGUGAAACCCCCCUGGAUGCUGUGCCAUUCCCUUUAAAUCCUCUGGUGCAUUCAGGGCUGAGAGGCGAGUUCAGGCCAGAGCACAACAAGGACGCAGUAGCUUAACACCGACUUUAACACAUGGCUCCCUCCAUCCCAGCUCAUAGAGUCUUCUUCAAAUGAAACUAAGAAAUACUCAAAACUGUGACCAGAACUCCAUCAACACCAAAACGACAACCCGUAAAUUCUUUUAAUUUUUAGUUCAUUUCAGUUAAUAAUCAGGUUAAAGGGUCAGUUUACUCAUUUACCAUUGAGGGUAUUUUCCAUGAUAUUUAAACUUUUUGUCCAUUUAUCUAUUCUUUGACAGGUCACCCUCUAACAGUCACAAAAAUAUUUCCCUUUACGUUUCUAUUUUCCUUCUAAUUUUUGUGAAUUAGAAGGAAAAUAGCCCUAAAUGUAAUUCUAACUUCCAUUUUCCGGAAACAACUCUCUCAGAGAAAGGAAUCUCAAAUCCUGGUUGAAUAUGAAACUCCAACGUUCUUCAUGACCAUUUAUUUGUUUUCUUUGGCUGAGACCAAAACAAAGUGAGUGUGUCGCUCUGCCAACGCCGGGACGCGCAGUGACUGUUUGAAUCCGCCCUGCCAGAGUUAUGGCGAGCAGUAUAUAGACUCACUCCGCUGGGAUGAUUGACAUCCUCUAAUAGAUCUGAGACCGUUGGAGCGAGUCGGGCAGCACGCAGAGCUUGACACAAACCAGACACAUGACUAGUCAACCUGUUAGCUUCCUCUUUCUUUAAGCGGCGCUUUGCUGGCUGCACCUUCCUGGCAGUUUGCCUCUCUGUUCUUCACAAAGACCUGUCACCUUCAGUGGCCUGUUGGCCGAGUGGGCUGCGCCGGCUCCGUGGAAGAAAGCCCCGCGAGGGAACGCUCAUGGUCAGCUAAUGCAGCUUAAUAUUCUUCAAAAAAAGGGUUCGGGGGACAAUUAAGAGUGUUUCCCAUGGUUCUCCCCCCAGCGGCGCCCGGCUGCCUGUGCAGCAUCUCGUCUGUUUGAUGGAGUCUGAAAGCAUCUUAUUGAUGGGGGUCAGAGAUUAGAAGCAGCCGUGCGAGGGGAAGAGAGAGAAAGGAGGGUCCCAUACGGUGGCCUCAAUGCGGCUCAGACACACACACACACACACACACACGUACUAACAGCUCUUCCACUUGUCUGUCUGUGAAUGGUAUUCAUUUGCUGAAUGAGUGAUUGAGUGUCAUAGAGAUUCACAGAAAACUCUAUUUUUCUUAGCCUUUCAUCCGGCUCCUUCGUGAUCACUGAAGACUUUCAUGAUGAAUUUAUUAAUAGCUACCAGUCUCCCCUCAAAGUUUCGAAAAGUCUGCCAGCCGACACGCGCACAUGUCCUGUCGAUCGUCCCGCUGGCGAAGCAGCGCUGUGGAAUGCGUGCAGAUGCCGCAUGUGUGUCGGCGGUCACGAUGUCCACAGCAGAUGCACAAAAACAGAAUGCCAAACCAAAGAUUUCAGAGAAACCACAUACUUCUGACUGAGAGGAACUGGAGGAGCGAUGAGGAUGGGGGAAAAUGCUCAGGUAAUAGACAGAAAUAAUGACAUUCUUCUCCCUGGUGUAUCAUUGUGUGUUUAUCUCAGGUUUAUUUCAGGUCUUCGCCUAAAGGACCGUCCGCCUACAGCUGUAGCUGACCGUGCUGUGGCAAUUAGAGGAGUGUUUUGGGUCAAGGAGAGAGCGAUGGUUUUGUUUGCCUGCAUCUCAUGAUUGAAUGACCACGUAUAGGACCAUGAAAGAAAAGAAGCCAAUUAAAUGCGGGGCGGUUUUGAUUUUUUUGUCCUGUGUUGUAAUUAGGCCCAGGCUACAAAAAAACCUCCUCAAGUACCUUUUGGGUUGUUUUGUUGUUAGGCCAUAUCAUUAGGGCCAAAAUGAUCCACCCAGGUGCUCACUGCCUGAAUAUGCUGAAAGACUAUGUAAAGAAAAACUGCCGUCCGGAGGCUUUUCUGGCCCUGCAACAAACUCUCUGGCUCAUACACAGACACUUGAGUGGAGUCCUUAAAUUCUGCCAAUCAAGCCAGUACAACGACGACAAACAUUUUCAAUAAACGAUAAAUGGACUUCUAACAUCUGGGAUUUACUUUCAGCCUGAGACUCUGGGUGCAUUCUGUAUAGGACGUCCUAAAAAUUGAGGGUAAUUUAUUUUUGUUCCUUGGACAUUUGAAAGGCACUUCAUGGCCGUCGUUACUUUUGAUGGUGCAGAACCAGCCAGUGAGUCACGUGCAGCGGCUCUAAAUGUCUUCCUUCAUUCACAACCACACCCAGUCAAUCAAAUGUGUGCAUCGCAAGUGUUUCCAUUGUGAGUCCUCACAGCAAAUUAAAUAAAACACUUUUUGGUUGCCGUUAUAUUUCUCUCAUAUGAAUUUCUUGUUAAAGAUAAUUUAUUCAGCUUAAACCGCAACACUACAGGAUCCUUCGGUUUGCACAUCGGACCAACUGAUCAAGGCAGCAUGACCCCAUAUAGACACACUCACCCACACACACACACAUGCUCUUACACACCUCUCCUGCUGCCUGAAUCUGACAGAAACGGACAGUGCAGCAGCUGCUGUCGGAACGGGCGGUGUGGCCGUGGGGGGCCGUGGGGGGCACGGGAAAGAUUUAAGUGUGCCAUGUUAAUAACUCGCAAGUGGCCCAGGCCGGUGGUCACGCUUGUUAUUAAUGUGCCACCACACUCCUGGCAUCUGAUCCAAGUACACAUUCCUGGUGCGACGGGCAGCAGCCGGACCAGGAGGACAGCUGACAACAAGCGUGGGCGACCACGGGGAACACCCACCAUCACCCCCCCCCCCACACCGAGACCCUCACCUGCUAACCACCCCUCCUUCUCGACCACAUAAUCCUUUCAGAUUGUCUGUUUUGAAAGGAACACAAGACAGAAAAGUGAUCAACACUAAAUUUAAGAUAACGUUGAAUCACAGCAUGACAAAUAAAAUACUUAAGCAUAAAAGGCAAAAGUAAAGAACCGCGGCAGGCUGCAAAUGUCAGAGCUGACAGAAGCUGAAAUUUCAAAGCUACAACCGCCUCAGUGUGCUGUAACUUAUUCUCACUGACACUACUGAGAUACACUUUGGAAAAAUGACCCAGUGGGGGGGUGGGGGGGGCCCACUGCGAGUCAACUGCCAGGAAUAUAUUUUUUCCCCCAAAAGCACCUUCCUUAGUGUUCAUGUGUACACAAGAAGUGGGGGCUGACACGCAGACCUCAGCCUUGGCUGCCGACCAGCGGCCGGAGCGGCGUAGGCAGCAGGGCCGUGAGAAACAGGGGGGCGACACCCAAAUGUCAUCACAGCUGCAAAACUGCUGACUAUAAAGCCAAAUUACAGAAAUAUGUACCCCGAGGCCUCCCGACAAUGAAAACAGAGCCGCGUUUGAGUGGCUGCUGCCCGCGGAGUGCAGUGGACGUCGCUCUGCGUUGUGUUUCGGGGGGUUUACUAUGAGCGAGGGACUCUGGAUUCCACAGCUGCUGGCAGGCAUCAGACUGCACGUGUCUGUGGUUGAGUGGGAAUUCACGAGCUCCGCUGUUAUUGCGCUACGUUAUUACUCAUCACGUCUGAGGCCCAAUGAAUGUACUAUUCACAUAAUGUGUGAGGGCGGGCCUGGCUGAUAAAUGGCCACAUUAUGCUGACAUUUCUCUGAAUUACAUGUAUUUCUUUGAUUCGUUUUUUUUUUUUUUAUAUGUUAAUUACCAAUAUAUAUUGUAAAGACGUUUAGGGGGAAGCAGUAUUUUGUAUUACAGAGUGUAUUUGUUUUUGUUUGCUUAGCUAUAGUAUAAGUAGCGCAUUACAGCCAGCUUGAGAAGUGUGAGCGUGUUCAAAGCUCCUCUUUUGCUGGAGUUUUUUGUGUAGUUCGGAGGCCAUAAGCACUGUGUGUGGCCGUGUGUUCAGUAUUUGUUGGGGGUGGAUGUGUGUACCGAGACAUGCCGCGUGCUGCUCUUCAAACUCAAUCUCCCUUAUCAGUUCAAGCCACUUAAAAUCCCGCUAAUAUUCAUAUCAGACUGAAUUAAACUCUUUUACCCCAGGAUGGCUUUUGAUCUUCACAGGAGAAUAAAUAAUACACUCAAUAUUUAUGGGCGCAGUAGCUGAGAUAUUGUCAAACAUUCCCCAAAUUUGAAUUAAAUUAGUUGAUUGUUAUUCCUUUGGGGAAUUCUUCCAAAUGACACUUUUUCACGCUGCAUUAGAAUUUAUAUUAAGAGAAUCACAAUUUUAUGCCUUAGUGACCGAAAUUUUCCGUAAAUUCAAUAUUAAAUGAAUAUUUUCAAGACAUCAGAAAAAAACGACUUUUUACGUUCACGUCAGCUCAAAUUUAAUCCGGCGUCCAUUUCAUGCAGGUUAUGGUGCAGCCGUGGAGAAACUAUAUAUUUCUAUUACAAAUAUGCACUUCUCUCAUAGCUCUGUGUUUGUGUGUGUAAAGAUUAUCCUGCACAGUGAAAACAGCUACAGUCCUGCUGUCCCAAAAUAUUAGCCAUGUGUGUAUUUACAUCUACACAGGUGUGUGUCAGCAUGUUUAUAUAUACUAGUGUACAAUAGUAACACGGUACAGGUUGGGGUUUAUUAUUGCAUGACAGUGAAGCUGGGAAAGUCGGAGAGUGGCAGAGGCCCGUGCGGCUGGCUGCGAGGGAGGUAGAUUUGUGGUUUGGGUGGGUUGAGGGUGUUAGAGAUGUGAGCUUAAGGAAGGCGGAUGAAGAGAAGGGGUGCAGCAGAGAGGGAGAGAAGGCCUGUGCUUGUGCCUUUCAAGGUGUGUUAUUUGUUCAAGGCUGUCCAAACAUUUACAGAGCGCUGGCAGCCCUGGAAUGCAGAGGCAGGGCCCAGGCGGAGAGCUGUAGCCGUGGGAAACCGCUGCUCUCCUCAACCUCUGCAGACUCGUUCCCCUUCGGGCAGAGUGUCAACACAGACAGUGCCAGAGAUGUGUGCGCCUGAUAGUGACAGGUCCCGUCAGCAGCCUCCCACACACACACACACUCACACACACCUCAGACACACAUGCCUGCACACACACACGCGCAGCUCUAGCCGGCACACAGCCGGGCUCACUGCCUCGCUUGCAGACUGACACACAUUAACAGCCAGGGGCAGAAGCCAGAGGCAGGCGGCCUCCCGCACACACGCACACACACACACCUCACAUACUCCUGAUUAUUUAAGUCCUUUGAAAAACAAACAGUGAAGUUCACUAUUUCUCAACAGUUUUGGUCGCUUUUGUCUUCAGGAAAUAUAUGUUACACCCCAGCAUACCCAUUUUGGGUUUUAGCUUGUACGCUUGUUUACUCACCGUGGAUAUUAAAUGACAAAAUAACUAAUGUUCUGGGAAGCAUUUGUUGGACUCCUUUUCAAUUUAAGCAAAGAAAUUCAAAUCAUUUCAUUUAUUUAUUGAGUUUUUAGGUGUUGGGCAGAAAUUUGAGAUCACACCUCUUUCUGAUGCAGACAUCACUUGGGGCAAUCAAUCCCUCCCCACUAAGCAGCAUGUACAACUAUAAACAUGCUCCUCGGUCGGUUAAACAGAUUGAACUGCUAUUCAGUGACAGACACAUUGGUCAGUGCGGCAAAGACACAUUUAACUUGACUGAGGGAAGCAGAAAGAGUGAAUAAUUAAGCAUUCGCCUGUUACUGGGGUGUCAGUCAACACGUCUCCAGGUGGGGAAAUGCCGGUGCCAAGCACAAGAUGCAUUGUCUCGUUGAAACCCACACCAGGAAGUCAGUGUGCGCUGCUGAUGAGAUAAGAGCCGGCUUCAGGAAGCUACCUAGUAAUACAUGAGGUUCCCAGGUGCAGAGCAAGUUCACUCAUAUCUUCGUCUACCUGUUCCUGUACCUCAUUCAGAAAGAAACACCAGCCUCAACUGAGAUAAUGCAUGACUGAACUGUUGAACCUCACAACUUGCCACACACAGUUUAAAGUUAUGUUUGCUAAACAAACAUAACUUUAAUUUUGAUCAAUGCCAGAGUCAUUUCUCACCUAACACAAAAUGACACUGAGUGGCUUUAGAAUGAUUGUGAUCAACAAUAAAACUAAAAACCUUGACAAGCAGGUCUCUCCUUGUCAAUCCAAUUCAUUGUUUAUCUCCUUUCCAUCCUUCUGCGGUUGGGACAGAAAAUUCCGACCGUGCUGGUAUUUUCGAACCAUUUUCAAACUAUUUACUGUCCACAUUUAGAUGGCAAAAGAUAAAGGAAAACACAGGAAAAGACUGCUCUGACUACUUGAAUGCCAUUUUCUUAAAACUAUUUUUUCCACCCUUUAUGACUUAUACAGAACAAAAAGGGAGAGUUGAGAUUGGAUUUGUGAACUUGUGACCUGGACAUUUCAAAAUCGAGUCAUUAAGCCAGAAAAAGGAUAAACGGAAAAUUCUUUCCCAACUCGCCGCUAAGGCAACAGUGAUUGUGAAACGUUGUGUGGGAACCGUCCUCAUUUGAUUAGGGAGAUUUAUUUGCAUACAUUAACCAGACCCAUUGUUUGUGUACACCUGUCCUCAGGUCGGUGGAGCAGCUGUUAAACACAAAAGGGGAGGUGAACGCCUGCAAACGAGACGAGCUCGGCGAUGCUGCACACAUGCAUGAUAAUUUGAGUGUGAAGGUAUGACAAAGCUUGCGGGAAACUUGCUCAUCACCCUCCUCCUCCUCCUCCUCCUCGCACGUCUCUUUGUCCUCACGUCUGGCACACACUUACCAGCUCCUUUGGCGCUGCAGCCUCAUACACCUGCCCUGCACCGCUGCGAGAGUCUCGAAUUUCAGCGGUGACGCAACAUCCGACCAAUGAGCUACGGUGAGAACGGUUAGAGAGUGUGGUGGGAACUCUCCUCCCAUCGCUCCUCGCUGUACCUGGGAACCAGCGCUGCCUCAGGGAGGGGCCCCCGAGCCGCCCGCUGUCUGAAUGAAACACCAAACAAAAACUCUCACCAACAGGUGAGUUACACGAGUCAAUGUUGGUUUUUCUGAAGUCUAUUAUUUUCCCUUCCCCAUCAAUUAUUCCCAUUCAUGGCUGGCACACUGCUUUAUUUUUUUGGCAGGAAUGAAAAAAGAAAGGACAGAGAAAGAGAAAGAAACAAAACAAUCAAAGUGUGGGAACUUUUCCAUGUUCCUUUUUCUUCUUCCGAGAUCUUUUAUCAGAAUUAACUCUGCUUACACCGGUAUUUGUGCACCUGUGGCACAGGAUUAAUGGAUCAGCUUCUUCUUUGUGUGCAAAAAUAAGCGCUGUGAGUUAUUUUUAAUUCCAGGUUUCAGAGAGAAAGGCAUUUAAUCCUGUGCUGAAUAGUUAUAAACACUUUUCGAAGUGAACGUCUAGGUAGAAGACUGCUGAUGCAAGUCCCACUGCAAGUGUUUCUGAAGUUUUCAUAUUCAAACAUAUGACAAUAUGAGUUAUGCUGCCAGCUGUAAGGACAUCCGUUUCUUCCCUUAGCUGAAUGACUAUUUUGGAAAUGCCUCUUGACAAACCAACAAAUCCAACAGUGCCUCCCUCAGUACAGACACGAGUAAUGCCUUAAUGAAACAUCUGUCCUUUUUACCCAGCAUGAUCUGUUUUAAAAAGGAGAGUUUAGAGGCUUUUAUGUGAAAGAAAACAAAACAUCAAUCAUUUACUAGUAGAGCUGAAAUCGUUGUUGUACUGUCAAUUUUUGAGUCCACUGAAUGUAAAUGAAUGUUCAUCUCGUAAGUGUAAUUUAAGUAGUUAUAGGCUUUUCUCUGUUUGCACAGUUUUGGGAUGCAUAAAGGAUUCUUGACCAAAUCGGCUUGGAUCACCAGUACAACAACAAUCAUACCAAAUGUGUUAAAUAGACAAUACAUGCAUUUCACUAGACCGCCAGUAAUCUCUGAUGCUGGAUUAAAGUGGAGGCAGUGCGUUUCUCCGAAAUCUAAAUAAGACUUAGGUUCUCUUCACUGAACAGCAACAAUGCUGCAGUCUAUCUUGCAUCAGCUGAUUGAUUCAUGCUUUAGUAGCUGAUAUAUGUGGACAGGACACAUGAGCUCUCUUCAUCCCCCCUCUAAUGGAGAUCAACUUAUUGUCAUUAGACGUAAUCUUUGCAUGACAGCAUCUAUUUUUGAAUCCUAUGCUUGAUUUGCAUAGGCACACAUGAAAGAUGCUCAUGUGUCUUUUUAUUUUAUUUUCUUUUAAUUUUCCCCAAAGAUACAAUUAUACAAUGUAAAUUGCAUCUUUAUAGCACAUGGAAUUUGAAGGGAGGUUUUUAUGGUUGCUGACGGGCAUUAGAUCCUCUUCAAAACAUGGUAUAUGCUUUAUAAACUAUACGUUUGUAGUACAUGAACCUAAAGGCAAGAGCCCAUCGCCCAUUAUCACAAUACCCAAAGGGACUUUCACCAGACCAAACACUGCUCGGUGCCCAAGCAGAGAGGUGUUUGGUGUUAGGUGUGUGUGUGUGUGUGUGUGUGUGUGUGUGUGUGUGUGUGUGUGUGCGUGCGUGCGUGCGUGCGUGCGUGUGUGCGUGCGUGCGUGUGUGUGUACUUGUAUGUAUGAGUUCAAUUACAAAUCAGCCUAUUAACAAGAUAGACACCUACGUGUGAAAGAAUCUACCAUCCUCUUUUACUGCAGCCCCCCGACAGAGCUGCAGCAUCCACUUGACUGGCCAAUAAAAACAAGCAAAAGGCUGACAUUGCACUUCAUUUAACACCGCAUGCCCUUCACUCUGCCUCCUACCUAGACAAUGGUCAUCUGCAGGGACUUGGCUCUGUUGAGAGCUUCAUGUCCAUAAACUAAGACACCAGACAACAAUAGAUGAGCAGCUGUUUCCUGGACAUGCUGUGUGUUUAGUGUCCUACAAGAAGGUGCUUUAUGUCAUCUUGUGGGACGCAGCUUGAGUUGCCAGGUGACUGAAUGACGCAAUCUUUCAAUUGCUGUGCUUGUCAAAUUUGAUUGAUCAGAAAGGAAUACAGGUUGGAAGAGCCUUUAAAAUCACCUCAGAGUUUAGUGAGUAAAUGGCUGAGUUGAUUUGACCCGGGUGAGGAGGAUGUGCGCUCUUUAGAGGGUCAUUCACACAGAGGUGUCAGGUGUUAGAGUCAGGUUUGUCCAACAAUUCCCCGGAGCAAUGCUCACAGUGGGCCAUGACCUCGUCCCACAUGCUAGCUGGCUUUUCACUGCUUUGAAUCUGUGUAACUGAAGAGAGCGAAGAAACACCUGAAGCCAGCGACCAACAAACCAACAGCGACCAUUAUUUUGAAUAGGCUAGUUGGUAUUUAAAUAACAUUGAAGUCCCUUUCACUUACAGUCAUCAACCGUAGCGCCUGAACAUACAUGUCUGACAAUAGAUGCUUGGAUAUUUUAAUCCAUUUUAAUCUGUUCAAUAUUAGAAUAAUUGUUCCCGCAUUUACUGGGUUUAUGAGGUCAUUGAAGGCCUUUUUUUACUAAAAAAAUAUACCAAAGACAUCAGUAGCAGUGGAGUCAAACACAGUCGAUUCUAUUCAGUCUUUUCUGUUUCAACUGUGAUGCUUUCAAACUCAAACCUUGCUUUUCUUUACCUUUCUGACUGCUCUUCUCCCGUCCCUUUGUUACGUGCCUUUCAGUCCUCGGUUUACAGCAGGUCUACAGGGGAGAGGGACAUGUUUGCUCACUCUCUCACCAGAAGGGGCUGGCAAGAAAGCUGGCAAUCACAAUGAGCAAAUAUGUUCAUGCAAACUCACUCCUGCCGAGGGGGUUUGCGGACUGUUUGUUGGCGUAUGCGAGACGAGGAGCUGGAGGACGUGCCGUGACCGAUGGGCCCUGAUUUUACAGCUGUUAUAUUCCUUUCACAUGUGCAAACUCACGGAGGUGACGGCUGCCUCGAGUCAAACAGGCGCUGGUCACACCCACCGCCACGUCUCUGCACCGCCGGGGGAAGCAGCGUCUGUCCAGUGUCCUGCAAAAUAUAGAGCAGGCCAAUGCAGGUCACUAAAGUGAAAAAACAUACUGAUGUACAGUUACGUCUUCGUGCAAUGCACGGCAUUGUGUCAGUUGUGUCCAGAUAUUACGAGAUAUUUGCUAUUUCAGUACAAAACUAAUGUUUGAAUCUUUAAACUCUUGAUGUUUUGCAAGCCAGGCUCUGUUUAGCUGUGUAAUUUUUUCACGAUUUUAUCAAAACUGCUUUGCAAACAUGUCCCUGUGGCUGAAGAUGCAGCACAAACUGAAUACAGCUUGGACAUGCUGGUGUGAUAAUGGGGUCUAUGCGUCCGGUUUUUCAGGGAUCAUUUACUUUGAGACUGAUUCACACUGUAGUAAGCAGAGCCCAAUAGUUAUAAUCAGCAAUAACAAAACUCUGAAUGAAACGCUGAUCAAACAGAAUUCUGGACAAUGUUUAAUCUAUGAAGGUUGAAUUACCUUCUUUGUACUUCUGGGUAUCCUUGGUGCUGACUGUGCAUGGCGGAGUGGGACGAAGCAUUUAAGACAAGUUGCACAAACAGGUAUUCCAUCUGGACUUAAAGGUGACGAUGUAAUAGUCUUUAUCGCCACUGCUGCUGCUCCUUCACUCGAUCGGUUUAAUAGUCAAACCCUGAUCUUCAUAGGUGAACUUAAAGUUGGAGAUUCGGCCAAGUCACACAAAAAAACAAUGAACAUGUGAUUACUCUACUAAAUAAGAGAAAUACAUUGCAAUAAUAUGCGAUUUAGCACAUACUGAAUUGUUUCCAGUAUGACUGAAUGCAUACACAAAAGAGACAAGUAGAUAUGUAAAAUACAAAUGAGUAGAUACACAUUCCAAAAAGGUAAAUACAUUUGAGGCACGGACUUCUGAGUCACAGCCCAAAGUUAACCUUUUACAAAAACACCCUUCACAGUUUGCAGCAAAAGAGUUGCCCCCGAGCCGUAAUGUGCCUUUUCCUCAGUAUUUCCAUGUUCCCACCCUGUCUGCCCACAGAGGAAGUGACUUGUUGCAGCAGCACAAAAGCCACAUAAUAAAGUUAGGGGGGAAUUAGUAAAAGAAAGCAGAGAGGAACAAGGGUGUGAAAACACUCAAGAAGGUGCUGUUUUAUGGCUGUGUGUUAAUUGAAGUGUAGUUUAAAAAAGAAUCCCAUAUUCUUGAGGGAAGACCGGAGAGAGCUGAGGACAAAAGGGAGAGGGAUGCACUGCUGGUAAAAAGCUGCUCCUCACUUUUACCCCGUGGACUUCUGAACAAAUACAGUGGAAAAGACAUUAUACACAUAUAGUACUGAAAAGCUCACAACAUGCAUUCAGGAACAGACACGUUAAACAUGAACAUAUGACCCCUGAAAAAUACAAAAUCUGAUUCUACAAAAAGCCAUGUUAUGCAUUCUUUUCAAGUCUACUAAAGAAUGUUAUUAAUCCGCUGGAAGCGUUAUAACACGUUUGCGUCUUUCCAAAUGCCAAAAGGCACUUUCAUGGGUACUUAAUUAAAUCGGAUCCCAUUGGGAAAACAGGUUUUAAGUAUCUCUGUCUUUGUCAUUUUACGGUUUCUCUUCAGCCCCACAGCUCAGCCAUUUUUAAGCCAGACCAUCCCUGGGUUCACUUCCACGAGCCUCCUGCUGGAAGCUGAUCCCUAAAACAAAGCCCUGUUUACACUAACGGCCCACAAGGCCCUUUUGCCGCAGAAACAAAUAACAGUAGGGGGAAGUCAAUAGAAUUUAACAUUUUGACAUUUUUCCUUCAGCUCUCAAAACCAAUAUUGACCCAGCUCCCCUGCAUGGCUGUCUUUGGUCCAGGACCUUGGCAUACAAAUCAAGCCAAUGCAGCCGGAACCACAGGCAGCCAGUCGAGAGGUGGGCCCAACAAUAGCCAACCCAGGAUGGGGCUCUCCCACCAGGCAGGCAGAGUGGCCACUGUCCCUGGUCUCAAGCUGGUCCACAGGGCCUGAUGUAUGAAAGAACUCAUGCUAUCCCACCCGCUUUAAUGAUUACAUCUGAGUGGGCCGAUUGUGUCUGUACUCCAGACCCUGCUGGUGAGUGAGAUGAACAAGUAGAAGGGCCAGUGGGGGCCCUCACAUGUGCAGAACAACCCCCAUAGCGGGCCAGUACUUCUCAAAGGCCAGAUUACAAUCAAUUAGAGCGUAAUGAGCGGGAAGCUGGACUUGUAACCUGUUGCACAGCGUAGUUGUUUAGAAACCUCCCAGUUGGCGAACACAUCAAUAACCUCUGAAAUAGCUCCGGACUGAAAGCAAGACGCAGCGGGAUGCGUCUGAGUGCGUGGCCGUCUAUAUGUGAGUCCUGCCUCGCCCCCCUUCCUCCAACCCGGCCGCGUCGCGCCAUGACGGAAGGCAGAGAGAGGGAACGCAUGGCAACACAACAUGUUACUCUAAAACCGAUCUCCGUAUCUGCAUGACACUUUUUACUUCCAUGGAUUCUUCCUUUAGCCAUUUGGCCAUGCUGAUAGAGCUCAUACUAGCAGGUGACCUGUGACUCAGAGCACACGCAGAAGCAGCAAACUAAUUAAAGGAAUGCCGCUCAACAGGUUGCAUUCUUCUUUCUUGCAUUCUUCUUUCUAUCAAGCGGUAAGUGGCCUUGGACAAACGCUUCUGGCAAAUAAAUGCAAUGCAAUGUCAAAGAAAGAUAUUAGUUUUCAGGGAAAGAGCAGGGUGAGCUCUUACCUGGGGAGCCCUUCUCUCCACGGGGGAAGGUUCUCUACAGAUCAGUUUGCUGCACAGCAGGAGGACCAGGGGUGGUCAUAUAAGGGAAGGUGAAACAGCAGAGGACUAAAAGAGUAAAAGCGACAUUCUUGCCUGAGGGUUUAGUGGCGGUGUAAGCCACGGUGUAAGUGUAAGUGAAAGCAAAUUUCCAGUAGUACAUUUUCUUCUACAUCUGCCGGCAUACAAACUGUGUGUUUGAAAAAAGUCAUCAUAACAGGAGUGAGCCAAUUGGAGGGACUACUCCCCCACGACUACUCCCCUUUUGUUACACGGUAAUCAUAGCUCAAAUUGUUUUACAGGCACAUUCAAACAAUGGCAUGUUGGAAUAAAAAAAUGCAUGCCGUUGUGAUUGGGGGGCUGCGGAUGCUGUUGGUGAAAUAUGAUGGAGGAAGGUCACGUCGAGGAAGAGCUCUUGUUACUACGAAGGCAGGUAAACCGCAUUAACUUUGCAAAAACUGUGCAUUGCUUGAUUACAUCGACAUUAGGGUAAAUGUUGUUACACUAAGGCAAUCAUUUUAUUUUUAUUAAACUACAAGAUGCUCCAUCUAAAAAUCCCAGAUGAGGUCUCAAAAAUGUGAGAAUCGCGGCUCCAUAUUUCUGAACCUUAACCAAGUGCUUAUUCUAAACUUAACCAAAGGUGUUGUAGUCCUGCUGAGUGGAGAAUGUUUGCAUCCAAACAUCGGGCCCAGCAUCGACUACCAAACCUCGGUGGAGUAACCAAGCUAUGAGCUCAUGCACCUAAAAGCUGUGUGUUAGACGGCUGCCACCGUAUGACUCGUUUCUUUUAGUGGGACAAUAUUAAAAAGAACUCACUCUUUUAAAUCUCAGUCUCCACAUGCUCUCGGUCUCGUGUUCAGAUUGUGUUGGGAACGCUCCUGAGCCCACACCGACCAUAGCGAUAUACAAUGCUGUUAGUUUCCUCACGGCGAGCUGUUGGGCACCACCGGUCACCACUGUGCUGAAACACUUUUAAUCAACCAGCACCUACUGUGAAAGCCCGAACCCCACCCGGCUCCCCACCCGGCUCCCCACCUGCCAAAACCGAGCGGUUCACCUCAGCAACCUCCAAGCAGCAGCCAGUAUUUAGUAAUAUUGUGUGGCAGUCCAGCAGCUCCUACCAUAAUGUACCCAGUGACAGCACUAACCUCUCACAGCGCCGGUACCCCCUUCUGAGGUUAUAUUACAACACAGCGGGAGCUCGGAGCAAGCAGAGGAGGGGAAGGAGUGAUUGUUUGGUUCUCAAGACGAGCUGGCUUUUUCCCAGGCUGCGGCUCCUUCUCCCAGCAUGCCAUGCUCGCUGCGGUUUCAUUAAAAUUUAAGUACACAGAGUUGCUCAAGUACAUGGUCCCGUUGGCCCAUUUCCUCCAACUACCCGUCACCCCAUUUAGAAGUUGCCAACCACAGGAAGAAAAAAAAUGUCUCUGACCCUUGAGACCCUUUGUGAGUAGAAUUGUGUUUGUGGGGAAACGCCGCGCCGCACGGUGGGACGGUACGUCGGGUUAAUUUGUUCUAUGAUGAAAUAAAGGAGAUUGAAAUAAAAUCGAGUAUUUUUGUCUUGCGACAACACACAGAAACAAAGACUAUAGAUUGCAAAAGAAGUCCCGACCGGAAGGUUUUCCCCUGGUGCACAGGCGUUGGCCAGUCUGUUACCACUCUGCUCGGCCCACUGAGGCUCAGCAAUCGUACUAGAUUAAGUGAGAGCUUGCAGUGAACCCAAGCAGAGUACUGACAUCACCAUCAACCGCGGCCUUGAAGAAAAUCACAGAUGUUUAAUGUUUUAUCCCUAAUUGUUGUCUGGCGUUCUCUGUUCAGGUCUUUUGGGUGUCCUGCUCGGUUUGGCCAGCUGUGUUUUAUAGGGCUUUUCUUGCCUGUUUGCUCCAUGACGACAGUUUCCAAGAUUCCCUUCCUCUAAUGGGGAUGACAAUUACGUCGAUGAAGAGAUCGUUGUCUCCGGUAGAUUUCAGAGGAAUAUUUUCGGUUGUUGUCCUGUUUUUCUCUUAGAGCUCCACUAAGAACACAUCAGUGAACCGCACUGUUGCACCGACACAUUAAUAUUUAUCCAACUUUUAUUGGAUUGUAUCAAUGAUUUUUUUGGAUACUCUUUAAAAUGUGGCCUUGUAUAAAAAUAAAUGAAUGUCCUUGAUAAUCUUUGUCAACAUUAAUGCACAUCACUAACUUUGUUUUUUCCACGGUGUAUUAGUACUUUCUCACCUCGCAUGAGGUUCUAUCUGGACGUGUGCUGAUGUGAGUGUUUCGGUACAGAGGGUGUCACAUGUGUACAGACUGUAAAGCCCUCUGAGGCAAAUUUUGUAUUUGGGCUGCACAAAAUACAUUGAAUUGAAUUGAAGUGUCGGGUGCACUGUUUUCACUCCGUGCUGUUACGCUCAUUAAUAAGAAAGAAUACAGUGGAACAUUUAAAAUGUCACAGUUAUGCAUUUUAUUAUUGCAUUCAACAGAACUUUUACUGAGAUACAUUUAACCACGCCCUGGCUUCACUCACAUCUAAAACAAAUAGCAUGUUGACUGAUUUAUAUAAUUAAAAAUGAGAAGUCUAUAAUACGUAGCACAACAAGAUAGCUGCUUCUGGCGGUGUGUUGGUCUGUGUUCAUUACUCUGCAGUGCGAAGGUUCCUUUUUGGAGCUGACAGCAUUGGCAACGCUGACCUCUGACUGCUGGCUUUUGUUGUGCCUCAUUAGGCAGCAGGAACACAUCAGCCAAUACUACUUAUUAGCCUUUCUGUUGUGGCAACUACCAAGCAAAUAGGCUUGGACUCGCCUCUUGUUACCUAAGCUCCCCGCUUGGCCUCUGGCAUCAUACAAGUGAAGAGUCUCUUUCCUUGGAGAAGUGCACUCCCCGAGGCCCAGGCCAGCACUGGAGCACUUGUCGGAGACCUGCAGCAUUACAACGUGAAUGGUGCGGCCUCAAUGCAAAUUCUUCCACACUCUCAGGCGGCAAAGGCCAGCAUUGACUGACUGGUUGUGUUAAUUUAGCUGCCUUUCACUCCUACUUGAUCCACAGUCUUCUGGACCUCAAUGGAAAUAGAUUAAAAAACAUCUGAAGUGUCAGCGCAAGAAUGUGCCAUUCAGACUGGAAGCAACGCACCAUUAACAAAUGUCAGCCCGCAAACUACCAGCUGUGGUUAAACAAACCAGGGAGGUAAGCUAUACAGCUCGCCGAGGCUCUGGUGUCAGCCAUUGAUAGCCUUGCGCAUUGAGUGGAUUCAGGGGAGAGUCGUUUUAACAAGGUGGGUGAUCCACAUCAACAGGAAGCAAACAAGCAGCAGAUAUGGAGGCCGUGGCUGUUAAACCACAAGGUUAUUGCAGCAUCCUUACUGUGGGUGGGGAGGGAGGGGGGGGGACUUGUGCCCUUUCUCAGUCAUUUUACUCAGUAAAGCUCAGGCUGAGGUUACUCAGAAGAACGGCUCAUGCCCUCAACAGCCAGUCUCACCAGCCGGACCGAGUCAUAUCCAGAGGGCAGCCAGAGAUCAGCUUCGGGCAAAGGGGCUUUUGACUCUUUGGGCUCGGUGUGUGUCGACUGCAGGCCUCAUGCGUGUGCACUGCAGGGCCGCGCACUUCACCUGGGAUUUACAGGCUGCUUUUGACAAGGUUGCAACCUGUCCAAUGCACCUUUUUCCUAAAUGGUGAGGAGACAGUCUGAGAAGUUACUUCUCAGGGUGUCAAAAGAUGAUGCUGCAAGGGCCGAGGUGCCUAUUUGAGCCCGUUACAAUCUCUCGUUGUCCUGAAAAAUGACAUUAAAAUCAUUUCACAGAUAAAACAAGACACGGCUCAUCUUUUCAGAUCAAAAAUUCGUUCUAAAUGCUAAAUGCUUCAUAAUGUCUGCCAUUUAGUGUCCUGCAAGUUAAGUCUGCAGGUUUUUUUCAACUUUUUCGCUGAAACGAAGGAAGUAAGAAGUAAUUCAAAUGCAAGUAACAGAAGUGAAGGACCUCGUGGUGCAGAAAGCAGUACGUAGUGUCACCCAAAUGUAUUGUAGUGUGUUUAGUCUGCAACAGCUAAUCAUAUCAAAAUCAUAAGAAUGGUGUUAAUUGGUGAAGAUUAUGUUGCUGAUAAAAGUUUGUUUGUAUUAUUUUCUGCAGUAAUCCAAUGGAAAAUCGUAUUUCUGUCCAGUGCGACGCUGACCUCUGGAAUGCGCCACUCAAGAUACUUUUUACCUCUGCCGUUUGCUAACAAGCAAAGGUUCUGCAAGGUGCAUCGGUCCACACCGUCAAACAUAAAAAUAAAUGGAGACAUUCUUUUAUUUUCAUUUACUUUCAGUAGAUUUUAACAUCUGUUGACGGGUCGUGGGCUCGGACAGGUCAUAUCAGGCCACAGUUGUCAGCCUCACGCAGCGAGAAGCAGUGAUGAAUGGGAGGUCAAAGGGCUGUUUCAUGCUAUGUGACACGCUGGUUGAAGCGGUGACAGCACGGCCGCCUGAGCGCGUCACGUGUUCUGAGCGGUGGACAGACGGCUCUGUGUCCCGCGCGGUAGCGCUGCGUUGCCUUGUGUGGAGGCAUGCAGCAGGUGAGUGACGAUGCUACCAGGUGAUUGGUCUUUCCACUUCCUAUUGUUCCCCUGUCGCUGAUAACCCCCAGUGACCCGGGCAAAAGGAAGGAAGGCCGCAGCUCGGAUUGUGGAGGCAGGCUUGUCAGCUCUUUGUCCUCAGAAAACUUAUUAACUUAACAAGUCCGCCGAGAAAAGAAUGAUUUCUCACACGGCUCGCCGUAUGGUUAACCCAGAGUAAACAGCGAGGGAGGCAGAGGAAAGGAAGGAAGGGUACUAUUUGAUCUCCGAGGAGUGGAGCGAGCACAAGCCUGCCAGGAGGAAAUCAAUUUUAUUUCCAUUCAGAAAUAACUGAAAUUGACGGGAUGACGAGUAGGACGGUUGAAGCUACAUUUAUAUCUGGUUUUAGAUUAAUUACAUUUUUACAAACACUUGUGUGAAAAUCGUAAAAGUAAGUCAAGGCGUUAGAAGUUAGGAUUAACACAACAAAAUCCUGCAUGGGAUUAUAAUAUAGAGAAAGGUUCAGGGUUUGAAACGGCAUUUUUGGAAGACUCAUGCCCUUUGUGAUGAUGUGAGGAUGUGAAGAUGUGGAGGUCCUGUCCUUGAGACUAAAUCUACAUGUUACAAUACAUGUUAACAUUGAUUCAAUGAAUCUGGUUCUCCAGUAUAUCGCCGCUAUAACAAUAACAAUCCGCUGCUUGAAGCAGACAGAGGGAAUAGUGUUGGCGGACAGACAGAGACCACAGAGGGACCCGAGUCGGCCGGGGUCACCACACACCUCGGGCACAUAGCUGAUGUCACGCGUCUGCUGCCUGAAUUGGGCUCUGUUCAGCUCCGCUAAUGUGCAGGUCUGAGUCGUCUCGCUUCGUAAUCACUUCAGCUGUUUCACUUCAAGGGACGGAGGGGUGAUAAUGAGCUAAAUUGUUUUAUGUGUUAAGAGUCAGACAGCCUUAAGCCUGGAAACCGUAAGAACAAUUUGACUCGGUAUGUGGAGGUCUAAAGAUAGUCUGACACUAGCUAAUGUGUAUUUAAGUGGUUGUAUAAUGGUGAAGGGAAAGGAAUAAAUAUGGAACUGACUACAGGAGUGGAUCUGUAGACUCUGCACAAUAUGAACAAAUCUUUUGUGCAGCUAGAAGCUCAAAGGCGGCUUCCUAUCAAAAACUCUAUGCAGGGGAAAAAAGAAUAUUGAUCUUCACAGAGCACAUUGAUUUUUGGUUAAUAUCUUAAUAAUAAUGAUAGUAGGCUUAAUGUUUAAAUGUUAAAUUAAUAGCAUCCCAACAUGUUGUUUAUGACUUGACAGCAUUGACGGCGAUACUGCAUUUCAAUUUCAAUACAUUAUAUAAAUCACAUUACAGUCGAUAAUAUUACAUUGUUUUCAAAGGAUAUCAUUCUCAGUUUAAACCUUUAAAUGGAGAUUAAACAGAAAAACACAUAUUUGCCUGUUGUAAAAUGGUUUUACAAUCUUACUAUUUCCUUCUUAAAUCGAAGUAUGCAGUCAUUAAAAUGUUUUAAAUGUCCUCCAUUUGUUUCACGCGCUGCAGGAAAUGUAGCCUACAGAGGCUAAAUUUAGCUAGCUUGCUCCCAUGCUAUGCUAGGUUCUAUACAGCACUUCUUACAGAUUAUAUUAUUUUUGCAGAUUUGCAGAACGUCCUGCAAUCACAGGAGCUCUUUCGGGCUGUUUUAACUGUAGGGUGCAACUAUUCCCCUCAUGCACUGACAAAAUGAUUGCAGGUCAAAUUCAACACUCAGGUGAGUCAAUCCCACAACUCUGCACUACGUCACUUAAUCAUUGAAAACAGUGAAAACACGUGCGUGCUUGUGUCAUGGCUGCGCGGCUUCGAGAUCAAACGUGCUAGAGAAUGAAUCGACUUAUUGAUGAAUAACGUCGUUAAAUAUUUGCUCCGGCCGAGCAGAUACAGUCACUGUCGGUGAGUGGCCUACUUCUACGUGUGCGUAACUUGUAAUUGAGUAUUUAACAACUUAGUGUUACGUGUGAUCGUUUUAUUAGGCUUCAAAUGUGCUUGAAGGACGCCAGCGGUUCAUGGAGGCGUGUUUUUGAUAGUCCGUUGUCGCCACCUGGUGGCGGACAUGAAGUACUGCGCGUACCGUCGCACGGCAAACAAGAAGGCGGAAGACUCAGUAAGUACCAAAUAUUUGAAUAUUUACAGACAAACUAUUUGCCUUAUUCAUAAUAUCCUGUAAUACAACGUAAUAUAUUGUGCCAAAACACGAAACAUGAGCUCGUUUGUUAUAAUCUUGAAACCAGGCGUGUCUCCUCUGUUGAGGCCUCACAGUGACCAGGUGGUGCACUGCUGCAGUUCAGGCUUUGUGAAUUUUGAUAAUAAGGUAGCAUGAGCACCUAUACUGCCAUGUUUCCGCUCACCUUUCCGUGCAAAAGUAGUUUAUGCGUGGGAAAUGUUCCUGAAAGAAUAGCGCGUUCUUAAUAUAUGCGUCGACUCCCGUUUGAUGCCGAUUUGUAUUAUAAUGGGGCCGUUUAACAGAAGCUCAAACGUGUAGGACUCAAUUAGAACAAAGGAUAAAGAGCAAGAGAUUAGCAACACAUCGACACAAUUAACUAAAAGCUAAAUGUAGGCUCCAGAAAUCAAAUACUCAGGAAAGAAUUUAUAUCGAAAGAAGGCAUGAUGAGGACAUUCUAAAAUGUAAAAAUGCAAGUACAUUAUUAUUUGCUUGACUUAUAUUUCGUAUGUCAUAACACACAUUCCUUACUCCAUUAAGUCCCAGAUACUGCUCCACAUUUCCACCGAAAUUAAUGUCACAAAUUACCUUUCAAUCAAGACUAAUGAGUGAAUAUAUUAUCUAAUUAUUUUAUGAUUAGAUAAUACGUUGUUUAUUCUUUUACACCUUAAUGUUGUGUAAUAGGAAACUUUUUUCCCUCUUAUUGUCUCACAUUGUUUGGAGCUCUCUUCUCACUCGUAUAGCAGUUAAGCCCUUCUGCAAAUAUUCCACAUCAACCUGUGUGGCAUUUGUAAAUGGAGGAACAGGCAGAAUGCUUUCAAAAACGUCCUGAAAAAGUCCUUCUUGUCUUUCGUUUUUCUGUUUUUCUACUGUUUACUUUUACAUCAUUGAGACUUCACCCUCCUUUUUGACACAUAAGAUGCCACCGAUUUACAACUUGGGAUGCUUGGUAACCGGACCGUACACAAACCCUAUUUAAACGCCACGUCGCCGAGCUGCUGCUGAAUGCGUCUGUUUACUGGGGUUUGUUUAAUUCACGCUGAAUCGCCACGGCCGACGUGGCAAACAAUUAGGGUGAAAUGAUGUUGCUUAAAGCCACUCUGAAGCAUCCCAAACAGAUUCCAAUCUUUACUCCCGAGAGCUGACUCAUGAGAGCUUAAUCCUGUUGAUGGAAACAGAAUCCCACCCGUGUCAAAACGGCCCGCUCCCCCAGGUGCAGAAGCCACACAGGCUCUGGCUUGUCUCCCUUUAUCGUAGCUGAUGAAUUGAGAGGGCUCUUGGGCGCACCGCCCAGGACGGGGGUUGGCUAAUUAGACGGCCUGUUUUCUCAUAAAUAUCUAUAGUGAUGAAAAUUAGGCACAUAAAGGCUAUAGUUAAAGGCCUGUGAAAGUGUGGGAUGCAAACUGUGAAGGCAAAGCGGACAAUGUGUGUCUUUUACAAAUGCAACAAUUGGACUACCCAGAUUUCAUCAUGUGGAGUUCUGUGAUGUUGCUCAAAAUAUGGAAACUUUUACAAGCUCAACACUUUUCAUAUAGCUAACUCCCA
This is a long non-coding RNA of Gasterosteus aculeatus aculeatus (three-spined stickleback), 22109 nucleotides long. The record is from Ensembl. NCBI's taxonomy places the organism in Eukaryota, Metazoa, Chordata, Actinopteri, Perciformes, Gasterosteidae.